Molecule: long non-coding RNA, 627 nt
Organism: Mus musculus (house mouse)
Lineage: Eukaryota; Metazoa; Chordata; Mammalia; Rodentia; Muridae
Product: predicted gene, 53482
Exons: 3
Source: RefSeq, a predicted model, not a curated record
GGCACUAUUUUCACUUCUGCCAUCCAGAAGACAGCCAAUGACAGACUGCUGUAUUUUUACUUGAGAUUGGACUUGUAUAUUAUAGCAACCUCAUACUCUGAAAUCCACAGCUUGCAGCAGUGAAUAAAUAAGUCCAUCAGAAAGUGCUUUAAAGAAAAGCAAUUCCAACUCAGACCAUCCUCUUUCUAGUAGAUGCAUUCAAAUACUAGUGGUAAUAGAUAUCUUACUAAUUGUAUUUCUGUCACCUCUCAGGUUCCAUGUCAUAAGAGGGAGGAGGGGAUGAAAAUCUUACCUCUUUUAAAUGAGAUGUUAUGCAACUUGAAUGGAGAACUCAAACAAUAAGUCUACACAAACAGACAUGCUGUCCCAGGCAAUGUCCAACCUUGACCUUGCAGAGGAUCAACCUCAGGCCUCUCCAGGAUCUUGCUCCUCAGAUGUCUCCAAUAAUGGUACCCAGAAGUAUCCAGGACCUGCAUCUUCCUACACCGGCGUCAUUCAAUAGCACAAAGACCCCUCACACUCAAGCAAUAGCAUUCAGAAAUGUCCAAACUACUACGGUACCUUCAGCAACAUUGAAUAGGGAAGCCCAGCUCCUAAAGAUGUCUCCUCCAGCAACAGCAUCUAACU